This 68-nucleotide transfer RNA is filed under the name Redigobius bikolanus (speckled goby). Its description in RNAcentral is "tRNA-His". The stretch from base 7 to 61 matches the Rfam family "tRNA", at positions 7 to 64 of the family's 71-position model. Rfam says of the family: Transfer RNA (tRNA) molecules are approximately 80 nucleotides in length. Their secondary structure includes four short double-helical elements and three loops (D, anti-codon, and T loops). The record is from RNAcentral. Lineage: Eukaryota; Metazoa; Chordata; Actinopteri; Gobiiformes; Gobiidae.
GCAGAAAUAGUUAAAAAAAACACUAGAUUGUGAUUCUAGAGCCAGAGGUUAAACUCCUCUUGCCCACC